UGGGGAAUAUUGGGCAAUGGGCGCAAGCCUGACCCAGCAACGCCGCGUGAAGGAAGAAGGCUUUCGGGUUGUAAACUUCUUUUCUGAGGGACGAACAGAUGACGGUACCUCAGGAAUAAGCCACGGCUAACUACGUGCCAGCAGCCGCGGUAAUACGUAGGUGGCAAGCGUUAUCCGGAUUUAUUGGGUGUAAAGGGCGUGUAGGCGGGAGUGCAAGUCAGAUGUGAAAACUAUGGGCUCAACCCAUAGCCUGCAUUUGAAACUGUACUUCUUGAGUGCUGGAGAGGCAAUCGGAAUUCCGUGUGUAGCGGUGAAAUGCGUAGAUAUACGGAGGAACACCAGUGGCGAAGGCGGAUUGCUGGACAGUAACUGACGCUGAGGCGCGAAAAGCGUGGGGAGCAAAACAGGAUUAGAUACCC
This 419-nucleotide ribosomal RNA is filed under the name uncultured bacterium. RNAcentral describes it as "bacterial SSU rRNA". It matches the Rfam family "Bacterial small subunit ribosomal RNA", at positions 355 to 787 of the family's 1533-position model. The record is from RNAcentral.